RNAcentral lists this unclassified non-coding RNA (395 nucleotides) under Hevea brasiliensis (rubber tree). The record is from RNAcentral. Lineage: Eukaryota; Viridiplantae; Streptophyta; Magnoliopsida; Malpighiales; Euphorbiaceae.
GGCUACUCCAGCUCAUCUCUCACUCCUCUUCUCCAAACCUUCACCUCCACAUCGAGUCCUUGCCUUCCCUAAAACCGGCUCCAAUCCCCACAAAAAAGCACGGUUCAAAUGCCUGGCUAGCCAGAGCGGGUUCUUCACACGACUUGGCAGGUUGAUAAAAGAGAAGGCCAAAAGCGACGUGGAGAAAAUCUUCUCAGGAUUCUCUAAAACCAGAGACAACCUAGCCGUUAUUGACGAACUCCUCCUCUAUUGGAACCUCGCCGAGACCGACCGAGUCCUCGACGAACUCGAGGAGGUUUCCACUUUCAUCAAUUUUACUUGCUGCUGAAACCAACUAUUAAGAUUGUGGAGAGCUUGAGGGAGGAUAUACUAGCUGGGAAGCUCAAAUCAGGCAG